AACGGCUUUCCUGUUGGGCGAACCCUUAACAAGGAAAUAACUGGCUCCAAACAUCCAGGGGCGGCGGGGAGUUCACAGCAGAGCCAGCUCUGAACUCCGCAGCUUGAGCUCCCGGGUACAAUGCAGCCGGCCCCUGCGCAUGGAGCUGCCGGUGGCGGAGCUGCGGGGAGCUGCCCUUAUUUAUUUGUUCCUACCGCACGGGCUGAGACACGGGCUGUGUUUUAUGUUCCUCUGCAGGAAGGUGAUAAAGUGCCUGAGAGCUGCCGAAAACCCUUCGCCAAUAAAUUCAAAGGGAAAGGCCAUUUCUCAUGCCUUGGAAGGGGAGCUGAGGGAUGCUGGAAGGCAGAGAAGACUGAAACGGCGCGUCGCAUGGCAGCGUGGCAGGAGGCACAGGAGCAAAUUUUCUGGAUUAAGACGGCUGCAGAAGACGGAUGGCAAGGACACUGGGCAUCUUUGCCAGGAGCAGAUAGUGCAUAGAAAACAUGGCUGGUUUGGAGCAAACUGACACUUCACAUUGGUGGCCAGCAGCCCCGCUUGCUCACAGUCGUCACCACUGGGUCCUGGCCUCCCUGUGGAGGGUCUUCUCUCUCCUCCCUUUCUUCUUCAGGGAGAGGGUGCUGCCGUUUCAAUAAUGGCAACAGUGGACUCACUGUGCAUUAGUCCUCAUUAGCUUGUAUGUGCCUCCAGGCAAUACAUAAUGGGCCUUGACAUUUGCCAUCAAGAAAAUGAAGUCCUCCCAGUUUCGGGGCACCCUGUGCUGGUUUUGUACCAAAGCAUUUCGUAUCGACAGCUAUUUCAUUUCAAUAAACUAGCAAUAAGCCU
Molecule: long non-coding RNA, 822 nt
Filed under: Calidris pugnax (ruff)
Lineage: Eukaryota; Metazoa; Chordata; Aves; Charadriiformes; Scolopacidae
Description: lncRNA (ENSCPUG00000000444.1)
Source: RNAcentral